Molecule: long non-coding RNA, 1768 nt
Organism: Syngnathus typhle (broad-nosed pipefish)
Lineage: Eukaryota; Metazoa; Chordata; Actinopteri; Syngnathiformes; Syngnathidae
Exons: 6
Source: RefSeq, a predicted model, not a curated record
ACAGGCUAUGGUCGAGUGGUUGACACCUUUGCCUCCGAAGAUGGCAAUGCUGGUUCGAGACCCGAUCCCUCCAAGAAACUUCACUUUGCUGCUUCUCGCUCGCUUUUCUGUUGAGCGCCAGCGUUCGAAAGGUUUCUUUUUUUACUUUUUUAUUCUUCUUUUGAUGACGUCAUCACAAAAAGAGUAUAAAAGGCGUCAGGAACGCGACUGUCAGUCCUUCACUCUCUGACAGCGAGCGCCACGCUGCUCUGGUCCACCUGCUGCGCCAGCCGCACUCCGUUCCAGAACUGACAAGCGUCAAGUUGCACUUUGGGAGUGUUCCCAACUUGCAAGCUAAAAAGUUUGCAGAAGCUAGCGCUAGCAGUUAGCGUCUUCAACGAUCACCAAAACGCAUUUCUUUGGCGUGCAUUUAGGUGCAACGAUAUAACUAAAGCUUUGAACGGCGGCAACGUCUCGACGACAGCGUCGUUUGGCCAAAGGUGCAAACCCUUCAAACGAGCCCGUCAUGGCCGACUGACUUUCUGUCUGCAUCUGGAGCAGAGGAAGCAGAUUGACUGCAAAAUGGCAAAAAUAUUUUAUUAGCAAAGCAUCUUGUCAAAUUGACUAAAGCAAACAUUUGUUCUUUUUCUUUUGUCUGCAGGAUCCAAAAUGGCCACCUUGCACUUCCCGCAUGGCUUCAUGAGACACUUGCAGGUCUAUUCUUGCUCAAUUUGCUUGUUAGGCUGAAACUGUCAAAGCAGAAUGGUUGUAACGUUACCGUGUCUUUCAGACCAGAGAGCUGUGGUUGGAGAGAAGUCCGGCGCAGGCCUCCAUUCCUCACUGGUGAAACGUGCACGCGUCCAAAUGUUUGGCACAUGUCAAACAUUUCAGCCUGUUCUUUCUUUUGUCAAUCAGGUGUUGCCAAAGGAUCUACUUACUGCAGCAUCAAUCUGCUGGUGUGGAUCUACAAGGUUUUAAACCUGUGGAAUCAUCAACCUGCUGACAGGUGACAACUAAUUACAAACUUGGCAUUGUUUAUCACUUACCUGCUUUUUUUCAUGCUUCCCUCUUCCUGUAAAGCACGGUCCAGUAAGGAUGCAGUUGGAAAUUCUGCCACCUGCUUGUCAAAGGUAAAAGCCCUCAAAACCAUGCAGAAAUUCCUCAAACAUGCCAAAAUGGCAGAUCAAUGAGUCCCUUGUUUGUCUUGUGUGCAGGUGUCCACCCUGGAGAGUAUGAACAUUCUAACAACUCCGCUUCCAGUCUACAGUUAAAAAAUAAAACCAGUGAACUUAAAUGAAGCUGAUGUGUCAAUAUUCCUUUUUCUUUCCAGGCAGAGGUGACAAAUUCUGGUCGACAAAGUGCAAAGCCUGCCACAGUUUGUCUUCAGCCACAAUUACUCUGAGCUCGUUCACCUGGUUCCGUGCUGCCUGAAGAGCCAGCUGCUGGUAAGAAAAGUAAAUAUUCUAGCCAACAUGUUUAAAAAUUUGAAUCCAUUUUUGUGUCCAGUGUGAAGCACCAUCAAGUACCUACUCGCAGCAGAAGCUGAGGACCAGAACAAAGCUACAGACCAGCAGCACUUCAAUUACUUGUUACUGCCUCAGCAACCUGAGAAGAAGCAAGGAACAAACUCCACCUCCUGGGUCAUGCAGCAAGGAACAAAAUCAGCUUCCAAAACUCGUCACAAACUCUCCUUCUACACUGGUAUGUUUCAUGUCAAAACCUUUUCUGCACAAAACGUUGACUUAGCAUUUUACUUACCUAUCUCUUUUUGUCUUGGGUCCAGGCAUGG